AAUUACCCAAUCCCAAUUCGGGGAGGUAGUGACAAGAAAUAACGAUACGGGGUCUUUACAGGUCUCGCAAUCGGAAUGAGUACAAUUUAAAUCCUUUAACGAGGAUCCAAUGGAGGGCAAGUCUGGUGCCAGCAGCCGCGGUAAUUCCAGCUCCAUUAGCGUAUAUUAAAGUUGUUGCAGUUAAAAAGCUCGUAGUUGGAUUUCAGUAUGGGCCAGUUGGUCGGCCGCAAGGCCUGUUACUGACUGGUCUGUUCUUCUUCUCAAAGACUGCAUGUGCUCUUCGCUGAGUGUGUGUAGGAUUUGGGACGUUUACUUUGAAAAAAUUAGAGUGUUCAAGGCAGGCUUGUAAGCUUGAAUACAUGAGCAUGGAAUAAUGGAAUAGGACUACGGUCCCUAUUUCGUUGGUUUCGAGGACCGAAGUAAUGAUUAAGAGGGACAGUUGGGGGCAUCCGUAUUUCGUAGUCAGAGGUGAAAUUCUUGGAUCUACGAAAGACGAACAACUGCGAAAGCAUUUGCCAAGAGUGUUUUCAUUAAUCAAGAACGAAAGUUAGAGGAUCGAAGACGAUCAGAUACCGUCCUAGUUCUAACCGUAAACGAUGCCGACUAGGGAUCAGUGGGUGUUAUUGUACGACCCCAUGGCACCUCACGG
This 649-nucleotide ribosomal RNA is filed under the name Zygophylax cf. pseudafricanus XS-2022. Its description in RNAcentral is "SSU rRNA". It matches the Rfam family "Eukaryotic small subunit ribosomal RNA", at positions 439 to 1093 of the family's 1831-position model. The record is from RNAcentral. Lineage: Eukaryota; Metazoa; Cnidaria; Hydrozoa; Leptothecata; Lafoeidae.